CUAAUUGAUACUUUACUUUUUUAUCUUCUUUUAAUGGUAAAAUUUUUUGGAAGGUAUUAAUUCAUUGCAUAUAGUUAAAAAUUGAAAGUUUUAGUUUUUAAUUAAUAUUUUUUACUAUUGAAGACUUAAACUAACAACUUAGUUUGAUUAGCAAAACCCUUAGAUUUAUAGGGUGUGAGUUCAAAUCCUAGGGUGGAGAUUCUUCUUAAACUUGUAACAUAAGUAAACAUAUCUCAUGGUCUUAAAAUAGGUAUAUAGACCAACAAGUACUAAAAUAUUCAUUGAUUUUUGGUGUCGAGUUUGCUGUAUCUGAUUAGUAAAGUAGUUACCAUGGAAAAUUUCACUUUAGCAUCAUGUGUGAAUGUUCAUGUUCUUCACAAACCACACCUGACUUAUGAGGAUUUGCAGGGAAAGAAGGGGAUUUGGCUUAAGUUGCCUAUUGAGAAAAGGUAAAUUAUUAGUACUUAUCAUAAUAACAUAAUAUGAUAAGUACAAAUUAAUAUCACCACGUCUUUCCCGGAUGCUAACAAAUUAUUAGGUACAUAUCAUAAUAUGUUAUUCUACUUCUAUGCUUUUAGGGUUCAUCAAAUUUCUCGGAGAAAUUAUUAUGUUAUUCUACUUUUACAGUGGCACAGAUUUGUUGAGGAGAAAUUAUUUGAUUGGGAAUUUGUCAAUGAUGAAAUAGGACAUGAUUGUGUUGUGCUAGAUACAAGAAGUUGUUGUGCACAGUCGACCUUACAAAGGAUUUCUUUUUCAGCUCCUCAUAUCACAUUAUGUGUAGUCUUCAAAGAAACAUGUGUGAUAAUGAGACAGGCCAUGUCCUUUAUGAGACCAUUUUUGUUUGGAAUGAAUUCUUGACACGAGGAAUUAGGAAUCACCUCCAGAAUGCUCUUUGGAUAGUUGAUUCUAGCGGCUGCAGGUGUAGCUAAAGAUCGCAAGUGCACCACUUUUCCUCCUGUUAAACCGGCAUUGGUUGCCUCCGGUACUCAUUGGGUUGAACCAGACACCAUGGCAGCAAAAGAUGGUAAUCUCAUUUCUGCCACCACUUAUGAAGGGCACCCUAAAUUUAUUCAGCACUUUAUGAAGGCACUAGGAGGCAACAUAAGUGGCUCCAACAAAAAAAAAUCUCUUCCUUUGUGGGGUACGUUCAAAUGAUUUUCAGGCACACAACUCAUAGGGACUUAGUCCUCAGAGCACUAAGGUCUUUGUUUAUUCUCUUUUCUUUCAUUUAUUUUAAUUUUAUAUUUAAUUUGUAAUCCUCUUUAUAUUCAUUGAUACAUAGAAAGUAGUAGUUUAGACAUGUUUUAUUUUUUUUACUCUAUUGUUGAAUGAUUGUUCAAUUGGAUAGUUAGAUCCA
Non-coding RNA from Arachis ipaensis, 1357 nucleotides. Lineage: Eukaryota; Viridiplantae; Streptophyta; Magnoliopsida; Fabales; Fabaceae. The record is from RefSeq and is a predicted model, not a curated record.